UAAAAGAGGAUAAGCAGCUUACUAUAGAUGAUAAACAUGGCCCAGAACUAUUCAUCCGAAGUUGUGCUGAAGAACACAGCUGAGGCUGUUAUCAUUCCACUGAAAAAUGGCAUCUCCUCCCUGAAUGGAGUCUACGAGGCCCUGAUUAAGGCAGAUGUAGAUCCUAUUACUGGGCAAUGCUCCAACUACAACUACAUCAGACAGCAGAUAGUGCAGGCUCAUCAACACCUGCAGAGGUCAGAACAGGUGGCCAAUUCGGGGUUAAAGAGUCUGGAUGAAAGCUUAGAGAGAUUUACAGAAGAUGAGGGAAAACUGGAAUGUGAUAUAAAUGAUACAGAAAAAACUUUAGACAACUUAAGAACAAAGCAGGCAUUUAAUCAAAAAUUACUCAGAGAAUGCCAGGGAUCUCUGGAGCUGGCCAGGACAAAGCUGAAUUCAACAAAACAGAUACUUCAGGAACAGGAAAGCAGAAAACACAAUGCUGAAAUAGUCACAGGUGUUGGCGCGGGGCUGAUGGUUAUACCAUUCAUUGGAUGGAUUGCAGGUUCUGCCAUGAUGAUUGGUGGUGCAGUUGAAAUGGAUCAAGCAGAAAAUGCUGUCAGCGAGGCUGAAGAAGAGGAGAGAAGGUCUUACAAUGAAGUGAAAAAUUACGAACAUAAAGUAUCGGACUAUGAGUCCAAGAUUUCCCAUACCAGUCAUGACAUCAGUCAGAAAAAUGAUAAGCUGAAGAUGGCACGUGAAGGAAUCCAGGAAGUGAAGAAGCAGAUACAGGCUGUUGCUGAUUUCCAGAGCAAAGCGAGAAGGGCCGUCCAGUUCCUGGGUGUUCUGAGUGGGAGGGCCAGCGUAGCUGAACAUCAGACUCGCAGAUUCAUCCUCCAGGAGCCUGUGAUGAAGGUGAUGGAGGAUGUUAUGAACGCAAUGAAGGAGAUCACAGGGAAUGAGUUCCUGUACAACAAAGACAUGAUGAGACUCAUCGAUCAAAUGAAGGAGAACAACCUACGCCUGGCAGCCAUCUGUGCCUCAGAGAAAAAUGCUGUGGACGACUACUGACAGACUUUCAUUGUUAGUAACAUGCAUUGGUGUAAAAAAAAAAAAAAAAAUCAAAGGCUUUUCAUGUACUAGGUGCAUAAUUUUCAUGUUCUGUUCCCUACUCUGUCCCAUUGCACCAGCAUUGUAGUUAUAACAUUUCUUUUAAAAUUGCCAAACUUUCUUAUCUUUAUCUCAGUAAUUAUUUUAUAAACAAUGUGGAAGUCAAUAAUGAUCAAGAAUUCCAUCAUGGGUUUCUCCUAAUGCCAAGUUUGCGUGAACACAUGAAAAUGAGAGUAAAAGCACUUUUUUUUUGGUUUAGAAGCAACACUUGGUUUUAACAAUUUUCAUUAAUUUUUUAUCCUCUAAGAUAAAUGUCAUUUAAAAUUUUUUGCUUCCGAUUGUAUUUAUGAUCAAAGCCAACAACUCUUUCCAAGAUUAUUGCAUUGUUACCCUUUUUUUGUCAACCUGAAUAUUCAACUCAAUUAUACUAAAAAUUCUUUGUUAUAUAUA
Long non-coding RNA from Ictalurus punctatus (channel catfish), 1539 nucleotides. The record is from Ensembl. Lineage: Eukaryota; Metazoa; Chordata; Actinopteri; Siluriformes; Ictaluridae.